Molecule: ribosomal RNA, 494 nt
Filed under: uncultured bacterium
Lineage: Bacteria
Description: partial 16S ribosomal RNA
Rfam family: Bacterial small subunit ribosomal RNA
Source: RNAcentral
GACGAACGCUGGCGGCGUGCUUAACACAUGCAAGUCGAACGGUGAAGCGCCUUCCUUUUUGGUGGGUGUGGAUGAGUGGCGAACGGGUGAGUAACACGUGAGUAACCUGCCCCCUUCUUCUGGAUAACCGCAUGAAAGUGUGGCUAAUACGGGAUAUUCUGGGUCUGUCGCAUGAUGGGUCUGGGAAAGAUAUUGUUUCGGUGGGGGAUGGGCUCGCGGCCUAUCAGCUUGUUGGUGGGGUGAUGGCCUCCCAAGGCGGUGACGGGUAGCCGGCCUGAGAGGGUGGACGGUCACACUGGGACUGAGACACGGACCAGACUCCUACGGGAGGCAGCAGUGGGGAAUAUUGCACAAUGGGCGCAAGCCUGAUGCAGCGACGCCGCGUGAGGGAUGGAGGCCUUCGGGUUGUGAACCUCUUUCGCCAGUGAAGCAGGCCUGCCUCGUUUGUGGGUGGGUUGACGGUAGCUGGAUAAGAAGCGCCGGCUAACUACGUG